GCUUGGCUAGCUCAGUCGGUAGAGCGCACGACUCUUAAUCGUGUGGUCGGGGGUUCGACGCCCCCCGUCGAGCG
Molecule: transfer RNA, 74 nt
Rfam family: tRNA
About the family: Transfer RNA (tRNA) molecules are approximately 80 nucleotides in length. Their secondary structure includes four short double-helical elements and three loops (D, anti-codon, and T loops). Further hydrogen bonds mediate the characteristic L-shaped molecular structure. tRNAs have two regions of fundamental functional importance: the anti-codon, which is responsible for specific mRNA codon recognition, and the 3' end, to which the tRNAs corresponding amino acid is attached (by aminoacyl-tRNA synthetases). tRNAs cope with the degeneracy of the genetic code in two manners: having more than one tRNA (with a specific anti-codon) for a particular amino acid; and 'wobble' base-pairing, i.e. permitting non-standard base-pairing at the 3rd anti-codon position.
Source: Rfam